Small nuclear RNA from Heterocephalus glaber (naked mole-rat), 164 nucleotides. Its record names the gene U1. It matches the Rfam family "U1 spliceosomal RNA". Rfam says of the family: U1 is a small nuclear RNA (snRNA) component of the spliceosome (involved in pre-mRNA splicing). Its 5' end forms complementary base pairs with the 5' splice junction, thus defining the 5' donor site of an intron. The record is from Ensembl. NCBI's taxonomy places the organism in Eukaryota, Metazoa, Chordata, Mammalia, Rodentia, Bathyergidae.
AUACUUACCUGGGAGAGGAGAUACCAUGAUCACAAAUGUGGCUUUCCCAAGGCGGGGCUUAUCCAUUGCACCUUGGCUAAGCUGAUCCCUGACAUUUCCCCAAAUGUGAGAAAAUCAACAGUUUAAUUUGUGGUAGUGGGGGACUGUGUUCAUGCUUUCCCUUG